CCCUGAUCCUGCCUAGUCUCCCAGUCCCUGAAAAAGAUCCCCACAGCAUGAUGCUGCUACCUUCAUACUUCACCAUAAGGAUUGUGCCAGGUUUCCUCCAGAAGUGACGCUUGGCAUUCAGGCCAAAGGGUUCAGUCUUGGUUUCAUACAUUUUUUGUUCCCUUUUCCCAGAUCUGUGCGUCAACACAAUCCUGUCUCGGAGCUUUACGGACAAUUCCUUCGACCUCAUGGCUUGGUGUUUGCUCUGACAUGCACUGUCAACUGUGGGACCUUACAUAGACAGGACAAUGACCCAACACACCUCCAGGCUGUGUAAGGGCUAUUUCACCAAUAAGGAGAGUGAUGGAGUGCUGCAUCAGAUGACCUAGCCUCCACAAUCCCCCGACCUCAACCAAAUUGAAAAUGUUUGGGAUGAGUCGGACCGCAGAGUGAAGGAAAAGGAGCUAACAAGUGCUCAGCAUAUGUGGGAACUCCUUCAAGACUGUUGGAAAAGCAUUCCAGGUGAAGCUGGUUGAGAGAAUGCCAAGCGUGUGCAAAGCUGUCAUCAAGGCAAAGUUUGGCUACUUUGAAGAAUCUCAUAUAUAAAAUAUAUUUUGAUUUGUUUAACACUUUUUUGGUUACUCCAUGAUUCCAUAUGUGUUAUUUCAUAGUUUUGAUGUCUUCGCUAUUAUUCUACAAUGUAGUAAAUAGUAAAAAUAAAGAAAACCCUUGACUGAGUAGGUGUCCAAACUUUUGACUGGUACUGUAUAUCUCAGCACUGCAGAUUUUGCUGCCAAGAGACAGAAUCAUUAGAUAAUUCAUUCUGGUAUUACCCCCAUGUACAGUAGCUUGUUUAUGGUCACAGGUUCAGGAAUGGCUGAAAAAUCACAACAUUAACCCUACAAAUAGCAGUGUUGGGUACUUUCAGAAGACAUAGUCAAUCAAUCAAUAAUAUAGCAAUACUCUUAGGAAAAAUAUGUAUCUUUAUCUUACAAUCUGUGGAUACUAUGUGAUUAGAAAGGUUAACAAUGUAUGUAUGUAAGACAUCCCAGCACAGUUGAAAAAUCUUUGGCACAUGAAAAUCAAGAGAGGGUGGUCUACGGAGAUAGCUGGGAUGGGCUGAGAGUAGCUGAGGGCUGGGAUUAAAAAGCUCAUAAUCAGUAAUAGUUAUUACUGAAAACAUUAUAUAUAAUGUGAACCGGAGAUGUCUGAGUACUAUCUUUUACAAAUGUAAUGUGUAUAUAAAAUAACUAUCUUUGUCAUGUGAAUGAUAUGUAUAAAAGUACCAUGUAGGUAUACUAAAAUAAAGCUGUAGAGCUGAAAUAAAAGAUCCCAGAAAUUUACCAUACUCACAAAAAGCUUAUUUAUAUCAAAUUUUGUGCGCAAAAUUGUUUACAUCUCUGUAAGUGAACAUUUCUACUUUACUAAGAUAAUCCAUCCACCUGAUAGCUGUGGCAUUUCAAGAAGCUGAUUGAACAGCAUUUUAGAGAAUUUGGCAGUACCUCCAACCGGCCUCGCAACCGCAGACCAUGUGCAACCACGCCAGCCCAGGACCUCCACAUCCGGCUUCCUCACCUGUGGGAUCGUCUGAGACCAGCCACCCGGACAGUUGAUGAAAUUGUGGGUUUGCACAACUGAAAAAUUUCUGGACAAACUUUCAGAAACCAUCUCAGGUAAGCUUAUCUGCGUGCUCGUUGUCCUCACCAGGGUCUUGACCUGACUGCAGUUUGGCGUCAUAAUCGACUUCAGUGGGCAAAUGCUCACCUUCAAUGGCCACUGGCACGCUGGUAAAGUGUGCUCUUCAUGGAUGAAUCCCGGUUUCAACUGUACCGGGCAGAUGGCAGACAACGUUGCUGAUGUCAACGUUGUAAACAGAGUGUCCCAUGGUGGCAGUGGGGUUAUGGUAUGGGCAGACAUAAGCUACGGACAACGAACACAAUUACAUUUUAUCGAUGACAAUUUGAAUGCACAGAGACACUGUGAUGAGAUCCUGAGGCCCAUUGUUGUGCCAUUCAUCCACCGCCAUCACCUCAUGUUUCAGCAGGAUAAUGCACAGCACCAUGUCGCAAGGGUUUGUACACAAUUCCUGGAAGCUGAAAAUGUCCCAGUUCUUCCAUGGCCUGAAUACUCACCAGAGAUGUCACCCAUUUAGCAUGUUUUAUGAUGCUCUGGAUUGACGUGUAAGAAAAUCCAGCAACUUCGCACAUCCAUUGAAGAGGAGUAGGACAACAUUCCACAGGCAAUAAUCAACAGCCUGAUCAACUCUAUGCCAAGGAGAUGUGUUGCGCUGCAUGAGGCAUAUGGUGGUCACACCAGAUACUGACUGGUUUUCUGAUCCAUGCCCCUACCUUGUUUUUAAAAGGUAUCUGUGAUCAACAGAUGCAUAUCUGUUUUCCCAGUUAUGUGAAAUCCAUAGAUUAGAGCCUAAUUACUUUAUUUCAAUUGAGUGAUUUCCUUAUAUGAACUGUAACUCAGUAAAAUCUUUGAAAUUGUUACAUGUUGCGCUUAUAUUUUUGUUCAGUGUAAAAUGUGUGUAAAAUGUAUAUGUAACAAAAGAGCUGUAAAAACCAAAAAUAGAA
Oncorhynchus tshawytscha (Chinook salmon) is the source of this 2558-nucleotide long non-coding RNA. The record is from Ensembl. NCBI's taxonomy places the organism in Eukaryota, Metazoa, Chordata, Actinopteri, Salmoniformes, Salmonidae.